RNAcentral lists this ribosomal RNA (253 nucleotides) under uncultured bacterium. RNAcentral describes it as "partial 16S ribosomal RNA". It matches the Rfam family "Bacterial small subunit ribosomal RNA", at positions 524 to 776 of the family's 1533-position model. The record is from RNAcentral.
GACAGAGGGUGCAAACGUUGCUCGGAAUUACUGGGCGUAAAGCGCGUGUAGGCGGGCUUGCAAGUCAGAUGUGAAAUCCCUGGGCUCAACCCAGGAACUGCAUUUGAAACUGCAAGCCUUGAGUAUCGGAGAGGAAAGCGGAAUUCCUGGUGUAGAGGUGAAAUUCGUAGAUAUCAGGAAGAACACCCGUGGCGAAGGCGGCUCUCUGGAACGCAACUGACGCUGAGACGCGAAAGCGUGGGGAGCAAACAGG